GUUUAAACAUAUUUUAUUGGGGAAAGUUAUCAAAUUUUAUUUUAUUGGUGAAAUCACUGAUUAAUGUAUACCAUAUAAAAUGUACACUGCUAAGAACAAAUUUAAGAACAGGAAGGCUUGGAUUUUUAAAAGUAUAAAUCGAAAUAAAUGCUGUUGUGGAGUUUGAGUACUUUGAGCUACUUUUCAUCCAGGUGCACGUGUGCCAUUUUAACAAGUUUCACCUCCGCGCCCAGGCUUCGCCUCUGGUUGCAGGAUGGGGGCGAGGGGGCGGGGACUUUUAAAGGAAAGUGCAACUGGCUUGGGCUCGUGGCUGCCAUGGUCCAAUUGGAGCUUUGAGUUCCCAGGCUUGUCACCAAGGAGCGAACUCUCCCGCCUGCUCUCUGGGCCCUGCGCGGUGGUCCGCGGCUCGCGCUCGGGCCCGGAGCGCCCCUUGGGCCUGCUGGCGGCCACUUUCCGCGCGCCGCGUCUCCCGACGUCCCGCGAGCCAGCGGCCAGAGCGCCGACCCCGCCUCGUGCCCCCGCGCUGGCACCGCCUCCGCCCCUCCGCGCUGCCAGCCAAGGCGAGCGGGCGCGGCCGCCAGUGCCCUCCCGGCCAGUUCCCGUUCCGGGCCGGGGCGCGGCUGCUCCAGCUCUGAGCCUCCCGCAGCUGCCAGUGCUGCGAGCUCCCCGGGCCUCGGCGCUCCCCGGGCCUCGGGGCUCCCAGGUCUCCGCGCUCCCCGGGUCUCCGCGCUCCCCGGGCCUCGGCGCUCUCGCUCUGGUUCUCAGCGGCUGCGAGGUCUGCAAACGUGGAGCCCAAAAAGAAAUUGGAGACUGAAGAUUUCCGAAGAGACAGUUAUUUUAAAAUAUUUUGAUUUACUUCAAAGAAUAAUGCUGGAAACUUAAAAAGGGGCGGCACUGAGAGGCGGGCGUCCUGGAUCCUGAUUGCCCUUCUGCCAGGAAGACACAUGUAGCCAAAGAUGAAUUUGGACAAAGUAGCCGCUCGCUCCUUUAGCCAUGGAAAAGCAGGGCCACCGUGAGAUGGGAAUGAUCCCAUCAGAGCCUCACUCCCACGUUAAAUUGUUGAAAAUCAACCGGGAACUUCUGGUCACUCACAUCCGCAACACUCAGUGUCUGGUGGACAACUUGCUGAGGAACGACUACUUCACUUCUGAAGAUGCGGAGAUCGUGUGUGCCUGCCCCACGCAGCCCGACAAGGUCCGCAAAAUUCUGGACCUGGUACAGAGCAAGGGCGAGGAGGUGUCCGAGUUCCUCCUCUACGUUCUCCAGCAGCUCGCAGAUGCUUAUGUGGAUCUCAGGCCUUGGCUGUCGGAGACUGGCUUCUCCCCGUCAGAGCUCAUUCAGAGCAGAGUUGUCGUCAACACCGACCCAGUGAGCAGGUACACGGAGAAGCUGCGACAGCAACUGGGCCGUGACUCCAAGUUCGUGCUGUGCUACGCCCAGAAGGAGGAGCUGCUGCUGGAGGAGAUGUACACCGACACCAUCGCCGAGCUGGUGGGCUUCCAGAACGAGAGCCUCGGCCCGCUGGGCAGCCUGGCCAGCCUCCUGGACCACUCCACGGGCGUCCUCAGUGAGCAGGGCGAGACCGUCUUCAUCUGCGGGGACGCGGGUGUGGGCAAGUCCGUGCUGCUGCAGCGGCUGCAGAGCCAGUGGGCCGCGGGGCGGCUGGAAGCCGAGUUCAAGUUCUUCUUCUGCUUCCGCUGCCGCGUGUUCAGCUGCUUCAAGGAGGGCGACACGCUGCGCCUGCAGGACCUGCUCUUCAAGCAUUACUGCUACCCGGAGCAGGACCCCGACGAGGUGUUCGCCUUCCUGCUGCGCUUCCCCCAGACGGCCCUCUUCACCUUCGACGGCCUGGACGAGCUGCACUCGGACUUCGACCUGAGCGGCGCGCCUGACACCUGCUCCCCCUGGGAGCCCGCCCACCCCCUGGUCCUGCUGGCCAACCUGCUCAGCGGGAAGCUGCUCAAGGGGGCCGGCAAGCUGCUCACCGCCCGCACGGGCGUCGAGAUCCCGCGCCAGUUCCUCCGCAAGAAGGUGCUCCUGCGGGGCUUCUCCCCCAGCCACCUGCGCACCUACACGCGGAGGAUGUUCCCCGACCGCGCCGUGCAGGAGCGCCUGCUGGCCCAGCUGGAGGCCAGCCCCAGCCUCUGCAGCCUGUGUGCCGUGCCCCUCUUCUGCUGGAUCAUCUUCCGCUGCUUCCAGCACUUCCACAGUGUUUGGGACGGCUCUGCGCAGCUGCCCGACUGCACGGUGACCCUGACCGAUGUCUUCCUGCUGGUCACCGAGGUCCACCUGAACAGGACGCAGCCCACCAGCCUGGUGCAGCGGAACACGCGCAGCCGGACCGAGACGUUCCGCGCCGGCCGCGGCACCUUGCGCUCGUUGGGGCAGGUGGCCCACUGGGGCAUGGAGAAGAACCUCUUUGUCUUCGGCCCGGCCGAGGUGCAGGCGGCCGAGGUGCAGGAGGGGGAGCUGCAGCUGGGCUUCCUGCGGGCCGUGCCGGAGCAGAGCCUGGGCGGCGAGCAGCAGUCCUAUGAGUUUUUCCACCUCACCCUGCAGGCCUUCUUUACCGCCUUCUUUCUCGUGGUGGACGACAAGGUGGGCACCCAGCAGCUGCUCACGUUCUUCCAGGAGUGGGCGCCUCCUGGCGGAGCAGGGGCCGACUCCUGCUAUCCCCCCUUCCUCCCUUUCCAGUGCCUGAAGGGCAGCGGUCUGGCGGGGGAGGACCCCUUCAAGAACAAGGAUCACUUUCAGUUCACAAACCUCUUCCUGUGCGGGCUGUUGUCCAAGGCCAAGCAGAAACUGCUGCGGCACCUGGUGCCCGCCGCGGCCCUGCGGAGAAAGCGCAAGGCCCUGUGGGCACACCUGUUUGCCAGCCUGCGGGCCCACCUGAAGAACCUGCCGCGGGUGCAGGUGGAGGGCUUCAACCAGGUGCAGGCCAUGCCCACCUUCGUCUGGAUGCUGCGCUGCAUCUACGAGACGCAGAGCGAGAAGGUGGCGCGGCUGGCGGCCAAGGGCAUCUGCGCCAACUACCUCAAGCUGACCUAUUGCAACGCGUGCUCGGCCGACUGCAGCGCCCUCUCCUUCGUCCUGCACCACUUCCGCAAGCGGCUCGCCCUCGACCUGGACAACAACAAUCUCAACGACUAUGGCGUGCGGGAGCUGCAGCCCUGCUUCAGCUGCCUCACCGUCAUCAGACUCAGCGUAAACCAGAUCACUGACAGUGGGGUAAAGGUGCUAUAUGAAGAGCUGACCAAAUACAAAAUUCUGACCUUCUUAGGCCUAUACAACAACCAGAUCACUGAUGUCGGAGCCAGGUACAUCGCUAGAAUCCUGGACGAGUGCAAAGGCCUCACACACCUGAAACUGGGCGAGAACAAAAUAACGAGUGAAGGAGGAAAGUGCCUCGCCCUGGCUGUGAAGAACAGCAAAUCAAUCUUUGAAAUCGGGAUGUGGGGCAACAGAAUCGGUGAUGAGGGAGCCACGGCCUUCGCGGAGGCUCUGAGGAACCACCCCAGCCUGACCAACCUGAGUCUUGCUUUCAACGGCAUCUCCACAGAAGGAGGAAAGAGCCUCGCACAGGCCCUGCAGCACAACACCACUCUGAGAAUAUUCUGGCUCACCAAAAACGAACUCAAUGACGAAGUGGCAGAGAGCCUGGCGGAGAUGCUAAAAGUCAACCAGACGUUGAAACAUUUAUGGCUUAUCCAGAACCAGAUCACAGCCAAGGGGAUUGCCCAGCUGGCAGACGCCUUACAGAGUAACACUGGCAUCAUGGAGAUUUGGGGCUGACGAGGACAGUUGUAAGGACACACAGCUGCUUUCUGGAACUCUGUCAAGCUUGAAAAGGUGCGUUUGCUGCCUCUGAAGGACCACUGUUCCUACCCAAGGCAUGGUUUGUGCAGGGCCCGGUGUCUCUAGCUCCCAGGUGUGCUACCCAGAGCCGGAAGAGGGCACUUUGUGCGUGGAUGGGGGGCAGGGGGUGGACUGAGAAGGAGGCUCAGGUGCUGGCCUGGCAGCAUCUUCCCUUCAGUCCCUGGCUUGCCCCACGUGGGUGACGUCAUGGAGCGGGGUUCCGCGAAGCCCGGUCGAGGGUGGGGGUGAGGGAGCCGCUCUGACUGCAGUCACCGGCAGCACAGUGACUCGUUCUUUGGACGUCUAGUUCUGCCUCGCCCGUGGCCCAGAAGCCCUUGCAGUCUCAAGUCCCGCUGGGGGCUCUGCUGCAAAGGCAGGUCGGGUGUUUCUGACUUGACACUGUACGGCGUUCGUCACGCACGUUUAUCCUGCCAGGCGGUGUGCUGCAGACCGUGAGCUCUUUGAGGGUGGGGCCCGGGUGAUGGUGUUGGAGAAACAGAUGCAACCGGGUAAACUGGAAGGUCUAACUGGCUUUAUUAAACAAUUCAUGAGCUGGGCAGCAUCCCAUCUAGCACGUAUGGGGGAGCUCUGCUGAGCCAAAUGAGACAAAGGUUCUUAAAGGCAGAGGGCAUAAACAAAGAUGAAUUGAUUAGCAGGGAAUGUAUUGUUUUAUGCUAGGUUGCCCUCCUAAGGGGAGCUGAAGGCGUGUCUCAGCAAAUUUCCUAGCAUUGACCAGGAAAUUCUAGGUUGACUGAUGAAAGGUUCCAUUCAUUCUUCUCAGCGACUGCUCUGUGGUUCUGCGCGCCUCUGCUGACCUUUGGCAUUCUCGGGUCAUGAUAUUGGGGCUGUAUCUCCAUGCCAUCCACAGGUUACGGCUUUGGAUUUAUAUGCCUUUAAGUCGGUUGUCCUCUUUGUACCUGUUUGUUGGUCCAUUCUGAGGGAGACCACUUGCUUGGUGGUGAGCGGCUGCAAACGUGCACUGAAAAUCUGUGAUGAUGAUGAUAAUCCCCAGUGUUUGCAGGGCACUUUGAAGCCACGGUUUCCAAUCCAAUCAAAAUCCAAUAAAUCAAAGACCCCCUGGAAGGAGUCAUCUUUUUAAGGCAAGUGGCUUGUUUUGUGAUCUGCUGUAACUGAGUUUCAACUCUCCCGGAAGGGAGGCUCCAGCUGCAGGCGCCUCCUCGCCCAGCUGAACGACAGCCGAGAACAACUGUGGCCGGGAGUCGAAGGUCUUUGUGGGGCGGGUCUUGCUAGUGGCAGUUCGGACAACAUUUCAAGAAUUAAAGAGAAGUUCCUGAUCAUAGUUUCAAGCUAUUUAUCCCCGGAAGUAAGGAUCUGCCAGAAGGAGCGUUCUGAAUCAUGCAAGGCUCCUGGUAGUUCCCUUCCGACUCAGGAUGUAAAUUCACAGGAGCCGACGAAUGAUGAAAGUGCGAUUUUUCUCCUAGCCUGAAACAAAAGGGGCCUCUGAAUUCCGGAGGCUGCCCCCUGAGCGGUGGCCUGGGAGGGAAGGGGUGUUAUCUCCCCAAGCCAAUGUCAGAGGGAAGGGAAGGAAAAGAGGGCAAAUGGUGUCCUGUUGAGCUCCAGUGGGAAGUCUUGAUCCGGCGUCAUGAGCGGAGGCAGUCUAUCGGGUGGCAGCUGUUUCUCUCCCUGGUCAGGGUGUUGGUAGGUCUCCAGCGUUUGUACAGGACCAGGGCCCGGGUGGAACCUUCUUCAGCGGGGUGAUGGGGACUCACGGCUCCAUGCUCUGGUUGUGCAGCGGUGUCAGCGGUCAGGAGCAUUCUGUAAAGUCCCAAGAGCUGUUUUUCUCUGGUGCUGUUUCCAGAAUCCCUAAUCCUCAGAAGGCUCUAGACUGUGACUAACAGGACCCUUUGAACUGGGAUCCCAGAUGGUUUCUUGAAGCUGUUUGUAACAGGCUGGAGCACAAGACACCGAAGGCUCACAGUGGCUGCUCACACAGGCAUGAAACAAGGGAGCAGCAGAAGGCUGUACCCGCAUAGAGUUCCAGGAAAUCUGCAAGGUUCUCAGGAAGUGAAGAGGGUGCCUCGAUCGCUGGAGAUUUACAAGGUGAUUGAUGGGCUGUGUUUGAUAGAUGUAUAACUUCAAGGGACAGAGAAAGAAUAUACUUCUGGCAGUACUGAGUAAUCCCCCUGGGGUGUUAAGAUGGGUUCCCAAAGAGGGCGCAAAGGAUAUUUACCUUCCCGAGAUCCAGAGUCACUCCCAAAGACAGCCAAAAGACAGAACCACCGCCUGCACGUCCCAGGCAGGCAGAAAGCCAAGCCUGGUUACACAAAUGGGACAAGGAAGAGGAUGACAGCUGCCCCUGGGAGAGAGGGCAUCCACAAACGCCUAAAUGGAAACUUGAUAAAGCCAGAGGAGGCCAAAGUCUUUGAGGAUGAGAAGCGGAUUGUCUGCUUCUGAGAGGCCGCGUCCAUGUGCGGGGUCCCUGCCCCGGGAGAAGCCGCCCCGCGUAGCUGUUACAAUUUUGCAGGGCAGGAGUGUGCCCGGUGAGCCGCUGCAGUGACUAUAAAUACACUAUGAGAAGACAUAAUGCAUAUCCAGGAUUAUUUUUAUCGGACAUGAAAGGAAUAAGACUGAGCUCGAACACCGGCCCUCAGGACCAGGGAAGUGAGCUGGUCAUGCGUCUUCAUGGAGGAGCUGAGGACACGGUAGAGAGUUAGUGCCAAGCUUCCUGGAGAAAAGGUGCUCAACAAAUAAGUGUUUUACCUGGAACAUUCUCUUCCUCCUCGGUCCCUCCCCACAGGUUGACGGUCUGCCCACUUCACAGCUGUAGGUGCUGAGAUAUGCACAGUGUCGGGUUGGACGCACCCAAGGUUGUGCCAGAGCAAAGGCUCCUCGUGGGCUUCUGUUUUCGUCCUUGGGUCCCAGUGUCUGUGGACAGAGAUGACGGGGUAGCCUCUUAGCAGGUCUAAGAGAAAGGGUGGGGUCUUCAUAAUGCUGAGUUUCCACUCAGGGCUUUCUCGUGCUGGGCUGAGCUCCUCAGGAGGGCUGAUAAGGGUGGGCGCAAGUGCUCUGUGUCAGGAGGAAGAAGCCGUGCCCAUCCUCCAAAACGAGUAAGGCCCCGUUUGCCUUUGUGGCCUGAGGUCCAAACAGAAGCUUCUCUCUCUGUCUCUUGCCCUCCUGAGGAAGGGAGGUCUCUCCCUGCCCCGGACUAGUGAGGACGACUGAACUGGACUUAAGGCUGAGGGAGUUGCUGAGAACCCAGCUGGCAGAGCAUGUUACACCGACCAUCAUGGCAGGCACGUGCUGGGUGUUAAAUGGGGGAGGGGGUGGUGAUAUUACCACAUAACUUGUUCUUUUGCCAAUUCAUUUAAUAAAGUACUGAAAACAUUA
This is an RNA transcript of Ailuropoda melanoleuca (giant panda), 7200 nucleotides long. It is a transcript of the gene named nucleotide binding oligomerization domain containing 1, with no coding region annotated. NCBI's taxonomy places the organism in Eukaryota, Metazoa, Chordata, Mammalia, Carnivora, Ursidae. The transcript has 16 exons. The record is from RefSeq and is a predicted model, not a curated record.